This 407-nucleotide unclassified non-coding RNA is filed under the name Hevea brasiliensis (rubber tree). Lineage: Eukaryota; Viridiplantae; Streptophyta; Magnoliopsida; Malpighiales; Euphorbiaceae. The record is from RNAcentral.
GGGCCCCGGGGCUGCUGAGUUUGCAGUUGUUUGUGGGAUAAUGAUGAGCCACUCAAUGAGCUUGCAUUCUGACGAACUGGUUGGACCAGAGGCUGAGAGUGAGACUGUUGCUGCGAGCUGGGAGGGAUGUGGCAUCUGAGAUGAGUAGAAAGACCCAUUAUAGAAAGGCAAUGCUGAGGCAGAACUUCCACCUCUGAUUGCUGGCGGGUUUCCAAUGGGAGUGGAAAUAGGGAAUGAGUAACCAUUGUUAGGAAGUAUUGUCAAGUAUGAGGCUUUAUUUUCUGCCAAAUUUGGGUAACUAAAUCUCAAAGCUGCAGCUACUGCUGGCAAUGCUGAAGAAUUUGUUGGAACUCCGGCUAUUGCAUUACCAGAUAAUGAUGUGUUGUUGACAGAGGCGGCAGAUUUAG